RNAcentral lists this long non-coding RNA (1885 nucleotides) under Sinocyclocheilus grahami. Its description in RNAcentral is "lncRNA (ENSSGRG00000051326.1)". The record is from RNAcentral. Lineage: Eukaryota; Metazoa; Chordata; Actinopteri; Cypriniformes; Cyprinidae.
CAACUCUUCUGGAAAUAGUGCUGUACCUUUAUCAGAAUUCUAGUCACUUAUUCAAUGGUGCAUAUAUUUAUAUCUGAAACUCAAUGUGACAAACCUUUCUAGCUCGCAGAAGACACCACCCUGGUUGGCUCGCCUGAUUUAAAAAUGAGAAUAAGAGAUAAUAAGAUUGAAUUUAGGAACAUGGAAAUGAACGAGGCUGCAGAUCUGGAAGUUAAUUUGUAUUUUGUAGUACUUGGAAUACUGACAUUACUUGCGACAGUAUUAUCUGUGAUUUGCUGCCGAAAGAGAAAACGUCACAGAAAUGAGCCAAAUGAUAUUCCCAUUUCAGUUAUAGUGGACAGUGAUAAGAAGCAAAAAGAACAAGAACAUCUGCUGACAGAAGAUACUGAUGGAAAACAUGAAUCUGGACCCAGAACCACACAACGCAGUCAAUGUGAAGGUGAAGAAAAAGAGGAGAGACAGAAUCUAGAGGAAGAACUGAGAAAAGAAAAAGAGGAGAGACAGAAUCUAGAGGAAGAACUGAGAAAAGAAAAAGAAGAGGGACAGAAUCUAGAGGAAGAACUGAGAAAAGAAAAAGAGGAGAGACAGAAUCUAGAGGAAGAACUGAGAAAAGAAAAAGAAGAGGGACAGAAUCUAGAGGAAGAACUGAGAAAAAAGGAUAGACAGAAUCAAGAGGAGAGACAGAAACUAGAGGAAAAUGUGAGAAAAGAAAAAGAGGAGAGACCGAAUCAAGAGGAAGAACUGAGAAAAGAAAAAGAGGAGAGACAGAAUCUAGAGGAAAAACUGAGAAAAGAAGAGAAGAGACAGAAUCUAGAGGAAGAACUGAGAAAAGAAAAAGAGGUGGGACAGAAUCUAGAGGAAGAACUGGGAAAAGAAAAAGAGGAGAGACAGAAUCUAGAGGAAGAACUGGGAAAAGAAAAAGAGGAGAGAAAGAAUCUAGAGGAAGAACACAGAAUCUAGAGGAAGAACUGAGAAAAGAAAAAGAGGAGAGACAGAAUCUAGAGGAAGAACUGAGAAAAGAAAAAGAGAAGGGACAGAAUCAAGAGGAGAGACAGAAUCUAGAGGAAGAACUGAGAAAAGAAAAAGAGAAGGGACAGAAUCAAGAGGAGAGACAGAAUCUAGAGGAAGAACUGAGAAAAGAGGAGAGACAGAAUAAAGAGGAGAGACGGAAACUUGAGGAAGAACUGAGAAAAGAAAAAGAGAAGAGACAGAAUCUAGAGGAAAAGCUGAGAAGAGGAGAAGAGCAAAAACCAAAAGGUAAAUCUAAUAUACUUCAAUCCAGCUAAUGAUUGCACAAAUACUCCUUUUAUACUCUUGAUACCCUCACCUGUUACCAAUUCCCUUGUUUAUUGUGGCAUGACAGAAUCAAGAGGAGAGACAGAAUCUAGAGGAAGAACUGAGAAAGGAGGAGAGACAGAAUAAAGAGGAGAGACAGAAACUAAAGGAAAAACUGAGAAAAGAAAAAGAGGAGAGACGGAAACUUGAGGAAGAACUGAGAAAAGAAAAAGAGAAGAGACAGAAUCUAGAGGAAAAGCUGAGAAGAGGAGAAGAGCAAAAACCAAAAGGUAAAUCUAAUAUACUUCAAUCCAGCUAAUGAUUGCACAAAUACUCCUUUUAUACUCUUGAUACCCUCACCUGUUACCAAUUCCCUUGUUUAUUGUGGCAUGUUGAAUGGUGUAAGUUAAAUAUUCUAUAAAUGUUUUACUUCUCUCUUUUUUUGGCCUCGGUCGCAAGUGUUUUUUUUUUUUUGAGUGCGUUGUUUCUCUCAGAUGCACCUGACAUAUGCACAAGAACAACAUUUCAAGCAAAGUUCUCUGUUAUGUCACCAAGACAAAUUCCUUGUGUGUGCCUUUGGCUUGCUUAGUUGGGGACGCGUGACUGAUUG